UACGUAGGGGGCAAGCGUUGUCCGGAAUUAUUGGGCGUAAAGAGCGUGUAGGCGGUCCGGUAAGUCAGCUGUGAAAGUCAAGGGCUCAACCCUUGAAAGCCGGUUGAUACUGUCGGGCUAGAGUCCGGAAGAGGCGAGUGGAAUUCCCGGUGUAGCGGUGAAAUGCGCAGAUAUCGGGAGGAACACCAAUGGCGAAGGCAGCUCGCGUGGACGGUACUGACGCUGAGACGCGAAAGCGUGGGUAGCAAACAGG
This 253-nucleotide ribosomal RNA is filed under the name uncultured bacterium. RNAcentral's name for it is "partial 16S ribosomal RNA". It matches the Rfam family "Bacterial small subunit ribosomal RNA", at positions 524 to 776 of the family's 1533-position model. The record is from RNAcentral.